ACCACAGAAUGCUCUAGCAAGAUCCGGCCUAUACUGGGAAAGUACUGAUUCUCAUGACUUGUGGUAAAUAACUUGGUUAUAUAUAGCUGGGGCACCCUGCACUCAGGCUGAAGCCUCACCUAUGGAGUGGACACACUGCCCAGGACUGUUUUCCCGAUGAAAACUCCUGCCUGACUGCAACGGGCCUUCCCAGUCAAGACUAAAGACAGGAUGAAGCUUUCUCUUUAUCGAUUCCAAUUCCAGUGCUAAUUGUUGCUGGUUUCGCAUUGUGUGGAGUCCCUUUGGCAGAGUGUGUAACACCAGGAGUAAGAGCAAUUAAAAUUAAUUCAAUGGUACUCCAGUAGGGAUGGGCUGCUAGUAUACGAAAUAAAAUUUAAGGAAAUUUUACCCGCCCUGCUGGACAAGGAUGUCCUACUACUAAUUUGACUUUUGAAGGAAAUGUAACUAUUUGGAGGGUAAGAAGAGGGCAUCUUUAUGUUCAGUUACUAGAUGACAGACAAGCUACGGUAAUAAUUAAAAAUUACACAGACAUAAAAUGUUGUAAUUGUAAAUACGAACAGACAUACUGAAAAAAUUACUACUUUUGCCAGAAUGGAUCUGAUAUUAAUAAUAAAUCAAUUGAUUUACAGAA
Long non-coding RNA from Protopterus annectens (West African lungfish), 631 nucleotides. RefSeq lists it as uncharacterized. Lineage: Eukaryota; Metazoa; Chordata; Ceratodontiformes; Protopteridae. The record is from RefSeq and is a predicted model, not a curated record. The transcript has 2 exons.